Molecule: ribosomal RNA, 440 nt
Filed under: uncultured bacterium
Lineage: Bacteria
Description: partial 16S ribosomal RNA
Rfam family: Bacterial small subunit ribosomal RNA
Source: RNAcentral
CCUACGGGAGGCAGCAGUAGGGAAUAUUGGUCAAUGGGCGAAAGCCUGAAGCAGCAACGCCGCGUGGAGGAUGACGGUUUUCGGAUUGUAAACUGCUUUUGUUAGGGAGGAUAAUGCAGAUAACUAAAUAAUUAGCACCGGCUAGCUCCGUGCCAGCAGGCGCGGUAAUACGUAGUGUGCAACGUUUACUCGGAAUCACGAGGCGUAAAGUGCGCGUAGGCGGGUUUGCAAGUCAGAUGUGAAAUCCUAUGGCUUAACCAUAGAACUGCCUUUGAAACUGAUCAUCUAGAGUAUGGGAGAGGUAGGUGGAAUUCAUGGUGUAGCGGUAAAAUGCGUAGAGAUCAAGAAGAACACUCAUUGCGAAGGCAGCCUACUAGAACAUUACUGACGCUGAGGCGCGAAAGCGUGGGGAGCAAACAGGAUUAGAUACCCGGGUAGUC